This 253-nucleotide ribosomal RNA is filed under the name uncultured bacterium. RNAcentral describes it as "partial 16S ribosomal RNA". It matches the Rfam family "Bacterial small subunit ribosomal RNA", at positions 524 to 776 of the family's 1533-position model. The record is from RNAcentral.
UACGUAGGUGGCAAGCGUUGUCCGGAAUUAUUGGGCGUAAAGGGCGCGCAGGCGGUCCUUCAAGUCAGAUGUGAAAGCCCCGGGCUCAACCUGGGAACUGCAUUUGAGACUGGAGGACUUGAGGACGGGAGAGGAGAGUGGAAUUCCCAGUGUAGAGGUGAAAUUCGUAGAUAUUGGGAAGAACACCGAUGGCGAAGGCAGCUCUCUGGACCGUUACUGACGCUGAGGCGCGGAAGCGUGGGGAGCAAACAGG